CAACAACGGAUCUCUUGGUUCUGGCAUCGAUGAAGAACGCAGCGAAAUGCGAUAAGUAAUGUGAAUUGCAGAAUUCAGUGAAUCAUCGAAUCUUUGAACGCACAUUGCGCCCUCUGGUAUUCCGGAGGGCAUGCCUGUUCGAGCGUC
This 147-nucleotide ribosomal RNA is filed under the name Septoria sp. TCM-8. RNAcentral's name for it is "5.8S ribosomal RNA". It matches the Rfam family "5.8S ribosomal RNA". From Rfam's summary of the family: 5.8S ribosomal RNA (5.8S rRNA) is a component of the large subunit of the eukaryotic ribosome. It is transcribed by RNA polymerase I as part of the 45S precursor that also contains 18S and 28S rRNA. Lineage: Eukaryota; Fungi; Ascomycota; Dothideomycetes; Mycosphaerellales; Mycosphaerellaceae. The record is from RNAcentral.